This 763-nucleotide long non-coding RNA is filed under the name Lathyrus oleraceus (garden pea). Its description in RNAcentral is "Pisum sativum (pea) long non-coding RNA (PSAT_LNC040537)". The record is from RNAcentral. Lineage: Eukaryota; Viridiplantae; Streptophyta; Magnoliopsida; Fabales; Fabaceae.
UUUGUUUUUUCCCUCUUUAUUCUAUUUAGUGUGUCGUUAUCUUGUAUAUAUAUAAACAUAUAUAUAAGAAUCAAAUAUGAAUAACCCAUACGUCAUAUUUAAAACAUUUUCAAACAAUUUGUCUACGAUUUCAAUGAAUAACUCGUAAAAUACAACUAGUACUGGUUAAGUUAUUUCUAGGUUGAUUUUUCUAUUUAUGUUAUCUAUUUUUCUAUGUUUUUUAAUAGUUACGUGUUAUGUAGGGUUUGUUUUUUCCCUCUUUAUUCUAUUUAGUGUGUCGUUAUCUUGUAUAUAUAUAAACAUAUAUAUAAGAAUCAAAUAUGAAUAACCCAUACGUCAUAUUUAAAACAUUUUUAAACAAUUUGUCUACGAUUUCAAUGAAUAACUCGUAAAAUACAACUAGAACUGGUUAAGUUAUUUCUAGGUUGAUUUUUCUAUUUAUGUUAUCUAUUUUUCUAUGUUUUUUAAUAGUUACGUGUUAUGUAGGGUUUGUUUUUUCCCUCUUUAUUCUAUUUAGUGUGUCGUUAUCUUGUAUAUAUAUAAACAUAUAUAUAAGAAUCAAAUAUGAAUAACCCAUACGUCAUAUUUAAAACAUUUUCAAACAAUUUGUCUACGAUUUCAAUGAAUAACUCGUAAAAUACAACUAGUACUGGUUAAGUUAUUUCUAGGUUGAUUUUUCUAUUUAUGUUAUCUAUUUUUCUAUGUUUUUUAAUAGUUACGUGUUAUGUAGGGUUUGUUUUUUCCCUCUUUAUUCUAUUUAGUG